This 993-nucleotide ribosomal RNA is filed under the name Paenibacillus motobuensis. Its description in RNAcentral is "bacterial SSU rRNA". It matches the Rfam family "Bacterial small subunit ribosomal RNA", at positions 59 to 1022 of the family's 1533-position model. The record is from RNAcentral. Lineage: Bacteria; Bacillati; Bacillota; Bacilli; Caryophanales; Paenibacillaceae.
CAGUCGAGCGGACUUGAUGGAGAGCUUGCUUCUCCUGAUGGUUAGCGGCGGACGGGUGAGUAACACGUAGGUAACCUGCCUGUAAGACUGGGAUAACUAGCGGAAACGUUAGCUAAUACCGGAUAAUUUAUUUUCUCGCAUGGGAAGAUAAUGAAAGACGGAGCAAUCUGUCACUUAUAGAUGGACCUGCGGCGCAUUAGCUAGUUGGUGGGGUAACGGCUCACCAAGGCGACGAUGCGUAGCCGACCUGAGAGGGUGAACGGCCACACUGGGACUGAGACACGGCCCAGACUCCUACGGGAGGCAGCAGUAGGGAAUCUUCCGCAAUGGACGAAAGUCUGACGGAGCAACGCCGCGUGAGUGAUGAAGGUUUUCGGAUCGUAAAGCUCUGUUGCCAGGGAAGAACGUCCGGUAGAGUAACUGCUAUCGGAGUGACGGUACCUGAGAAGAAAGCCCCGGCUAACUACGUGCCAGCAGCCGCGGUAAUACGUAGGGGGCAAGCGUUGUCCGGAAUUAUUGGGCGUAAAGCGCGCGCAGGCGGCUAUUUAAGUCUGAUGUUUAAUCCUAAGGCUCAACCUUAGGUCGCAUUGGAAACUGGGUAGCUUGAGUGCAGAAGAGGAGAGUGGAAUUCCACGUGUAGCGGUGAAAUGCGUAGAGAUGUGGAGGAACACCAGUGGCGAAGGCGACUCUCUGGGCUGUAACUGACGCUGAGGCGCGAAAGCGUGGGGAGCAAACAGGAUUAUAUACCCUGGGAGUCCACGCCGUAAACGAUGAAUGCUACGUGUUAGGGGUUUCUAUACCCUUGGUGGCGGAAGUUAACACAUUAUGCAUUCCGCCUGGGGAGGAGGGGCGCAAGAAUGAAACUCAAAGAAAUUGACGGGGACCCGCCGCAAUCAUUUGUAUUAUCUGAUUUUAAUUCGAAGCAGCGCGACAAUCUUAACAUGGCGUGGCGUCCGUCUGACCGGUACGGAGAUGUUCCUUUCCUUCGUCCCG